GUGAAGAUCGAUCCUACUAUUUUAAGGAGAGACAAAGAUCUUUGCAAAAUGGACAAAUCAUUUCAGGAUAUGAUUCUUAAGUAUAAAAAAAGCAAAGGCAGGUAGAUUGGUGCAUUCAAUUUGAAAGUAGCCCUACCAUAGUCCAAGUUCGAACUUGGACUUUUCCUAUUUGACUUUAGUUUGUCGUUGCGAGACGUGUUGGUCGAUAAUGUAAUGGGACAGUUGGAGCGGUGGUACUUCAGAAGCCUUAGACCUGAAGCUGAGGUGGACAUGAAGAUUAUUGAUGCCUUUGGGUGUGUAUUAAGAUAUAGAGACAACCCUGAUGGUGUAAUGGAUGACGAUGCUCAAACUUUGAUUUUCCCAACCUAUUGGCCCGGCCUG
Molecule: long non-coding RNA, 381 nt
Organism: Humulus lupulus (European hop)
Lineage: Eukaryota; Viridiplantae; Streptophyta; Magnoliopsida; Rosales; Cannabaceae
Exons: 3
Source: RefSeq, a predicted model, not a curated record